This 389-nucleotide long non-coding RNA is filed under the name Panax ginseng (ginseng). Its description in RNAcentral is "long non-coding RNA (PGIN_LNC018906)". The record is from RNAcentral. Lineage: Eukaryota; Viridiplantae; Streptophyta; Magnoliopsida; Apiales; Araliaceae.
CAGCGAUAAAAGUGAUGAACAACUUUUUAAAUCAUAAAGGAUAGUAGAUUCUAUUCUCUACUUGACUCUUUUAAUGGAUUGCUUGAUCCGCUGCAGUUAAACUUGAUGUUGUUAUAUUUUAUCAGUUUAACACUGUUGAAGGCUAACGAUAAUUUAUUCUGCAUUAUCUUAGUCAUAAUAUUUCUUACUGGGCUAGUUGAGCUCACCCUUUCUUUCACUGUUCUCUUCAGAAAAUGAGAACAUAGCAGGGACUAGUCGGGGAACGGAGUGACGGUCCAGAGGAUAGCAUUAGUAGUCCUCACUAUUCUGUGAAAUAGUGUGUUAAUAAUUGUAAUGAGGACUCCUUUUGAAUUUGUAUAAUCUCUAGUAGACAAUAAUUGUAUUCAAAC